CAUAAAAUAGUUUAAAAUAAAAUAUUAAUUUUGGAGAUUAAUGAUAUAAUUAAUUUAUUUUUUUGA
RNAcentral lists this transfer RNA (66 nucleotides) under Proterops sp. QL-2014. Its description in RNAcentral is "tRNA-Pro". The record is from RNAcentral. Lineage: Eukaryota; Metazoa; Arthropoda; Insecta; Hymenoptera; Braconidae.